This 446-nucleotide ribosomal RNA is filed under the name uncultured bacterium. Its description in RNAcentral is "bacterial SSU rRNA". It matches the Rfam family "Bacterial small subunit ribosomal RNA", at positions 329 to 792 of the family's 1533-position model. The record is from RNAcentral.
ACCCAGACUCCUACGGGAGGCAGCAGUGGGGGAUAUUGCACAAUGGGGGAAACCCUGAUGCAGCGACGCCGCGUGUGGGAAGACGGUCCUCUGGAUUGUAAACCACUGUCCCCAGGGACGAAGAUGACGGUACCUGGGGAGGAAGCCACGGCUAACUACGUGCCAGCAGCCGCGGUAAUACGUAGGUGGCGAGCGUUGUCCGGAAUUACUGGGCGUAAAGGGAGCGUAGGCGGGAGUGCAAGUUGAAUGUAUAAACUAUCGGCUCAACUGAUAGAAGCGUUCAAAACUGCACUUCUUGAGUGAAGUAGAGGCAGGCGGAAUUCCUAGUGUAGCGGUGAAAUGCGUAGAUAUUAGGAGGAACACCAGUGGCGAAGGCGGCCUGCUGGGCUUUAACUGACGCUGAGGCUCGAAAGCGUGGGUAGCAAACAGGAUUAGAUACCCGCGUA